AAUAUAUUAUGUGAAUUGUGAAUAAUAGAGAAUCACUUAUUUCAUAAUAGAGAGAGUUGUAAAGACCAAAGGCUAUGAAAAAUUGAAAAUGGUGAUGAGGUAUGGCUACUUUCUAUUGGCUGAAAGUGACAUUUUGAAAGCAUACUAUUGGUUCAUACUAGCUAUCUCAUCCCAUGGAGAUACAUGCAUUCAACUUUAUCCAGACACAUUCAUAAUAUGUUUUCUAUAAGUAAUUUUAUUUUUUUUAGCAAAAGAGUAUUACGGAGGUACACUCUAUACUUGAACAUUCACUUAUUAUAUGUUUUCUAUAAUAAUUAAUAAGUGAACUCUAACCAAUAAACUCUACUUGAACAAAAACAAAAAACAUUUUCCUUAAUCAUAUUAUCUCCAUCAAUCUCAUUUUAUUAUUCGCCACUUUGAAUAUACUAUAUACAGAUACACUAAUAUUAUAGCCAUUCUCUAAAGGCUAAUUAUUUCUAUUCUUUUGGUGUUUUUAAGUAAAUUAGCUUUCGUGCUAGUAGCAUUCCAUUUAGCAUGUAAGUAAUUAUACCGGUGUAUGAGAACAAUUUCGUUUUUGACACUAUGCAUAUCUUGCGGUAUUAUGCUUUAAAAAUUUGCUUACAAAAAAAUAUUAAUAGCUAAUAAUGAUAUUUAUUAAAACCGAUAUUCUACUUUUUUUUUCAUUUCUCAUGUAUUUUUUUUAAUUUUCGUGAAAUCAUCAAAAAAAUAUGCUUUAAUUUGUGGGACAAAAAGAGCACUAGAUGAAAAAUAGGUUUUUGCAGCGUCCAAAAGCCUCCUCAAAAAACCUCCCUGAAAUAGGUUCAAGUUCAACCAUCCCGCUUUUAAACCUCCUCAAGCGUUUGCAUUUUUUUUAUGUUUUCAUAAUUAGUGUGAAAAAUAUAAAAAUAAUAAAUUUAAUAAAAAUUAGAUAUAUUAAAACAAAAAUUGUAGUAAGAGAGAAUUAAAAAACAACUUAAAAAUAAAAAAUGGUAAAACAAAUAUUUUAUAGUAAUUUAAAAUUAAAUAUAGAUUAAAUUUAAAAAGGGUUAAAUAUGUUUUUAAUCUCUACAAUAUCACAGAAUUUCUAGUUUAGUUCCUACUCCCUCCGUCCUAAUUUAUAAACAAAAAACACAAAUUCACACUUAUUAAGAAAACAAAAACAUAGUAGUUUGAGAUAUAAUUUUUUGUGUUUUUAUUGGAAUAAGUUUCAUGGAAAAAAAAUUGUGUAGAUUAAAUUUUUUGUGCCUUUAGAUGAAAAAAAAAUAUUGGAUGAUGAUUAAAAUAAAUUAGUUAGAUGAGAUGAGAGAGAAUGAAUGAGCCAUAGGUCAGACUCCCCUAACCAAGAACAAUGCCCAAAAGAGACAAAGCCAUCAUAGACCCGUACCUAGCAUAAAGGACAUCCCACCACAUAAUCAGGCUCUCCAAAAUAAUCAUCCAACAUUACUUACAAGCAUACUUAUAAAAUUCAAAAGAGGAAAAAAUACAAAAUACUUAUAAAUAAAUUCUCAUGAAUAAAGAAAAAUGAAAAAUAUUAUAUAGUUCACCCGUUUUGGUAUUAGAGGAAGUCUCAGUUAAGACCCUCGCUGAAACCCUAGAGGAAAUAAGAACCAUAGCAAAUAGGCCUAGAAUGAGGAUUGCUUUUUUUUGAAUCCAUUGUACUCAAGAGUAUAAAUAAACUACACAAAUCGGUAUUACAAAAGGGAUAUUUGGUAGUGAACAAUAAAAGAGAAUGUGCUCUAUAUGUAGUGGAGGUUGGGAGAUCAAUACUUGGUAGUUGGGAAGGUGGAAUAGUGCUCUAUAUUAAUUCAUUCUUAUCUUCAAAUUCAGAACUGUUUGUUUGUUAGUAAUUUUGAAACCAUUCAUUUUGAGUAUUAAGAAUCGGAGGCUACUUAAUUCGUUGAAAAAAUGAAGCAGUUAUUGUCUAUGCCAAGCCUACUUAAUUCGUUGAAAAUAACAGUAUUGAAAGUAUUGAAAAUAACAGUAUUGAAAAUAACAGUAUCAACCACAUACAUCAUUAAAUAAAUAAACCUAAAAAAUGAAUUUUGUUUAUAUUUUGAUACGGAGUGAGUACUUUUAAUUUUGAAACCAUUCAUUUUGAUAUUUGAGUGGUGAAGGUACAUUCCGAAUAAACACUCUAAACUCUAAACUUUUUUAUAACUUCAACAAAUGAUCUAUCUAUCACUCAAAUUAAAUUUUUAAGGGGUUCUAAAUUGACUAGUUUAAGUGUGAAGAACAAGAAACAUAUGAAUAUGCAAACUAAAAUGCAACAACAUAUUGAACAAGACUUUAAGCUCGGACAUGAGUAAAAAAUACACAACUAAAGGGUUCAAACUCACAUAUUUACUAGGUUAUUGUGAAUUUGGACUCAAAUCUUAAAAAAAAAAAAAAAUAGAUGUGAAGAGCAUAUAUCAAUGACAACCAACAAUCAAACAUUCUCAAGUUACACAACAUAUUUAAAUAUGUGUAAAGUAAAGCCACAAUCAAAGCAUGGAAUAAAGAUAAAAGAGAAGAGAAAUCAACAUAGGAAUACUAUUGUUUACCCAAUUUGCAUUGGUCCAAGAAUGAGCCACAUUUUGGGGAGAGAAAAUAUCUUCAAUCCACUAUCAAUGAUUCAUUGGAAAGAGAUACAGAGAGUUACAUGAAAUUAACUUCAACAAGAUCUUCGAGAGCAAACUUAAUUUCUACUAUUUUUCUACGUACACUCUUCCCUUGAACAAGAGAGUUACCAAGUGACCAAAAAAUUUAGCUUCCAAUGUUUUCCAAAAACAUCCCCUAAGAGGAGAUUAGUUUAUGAAUACGUUAUUUAAUUAUUCCAAUGUUUAUGAAUACGUUAUUUAAUUAUUAACUCUUGAAAGGAAGUCUCAAGUCACAACAAUUCGGGCACACCAUUUCGAAAUACACAUAUUCAUAAAAAGAUAGAAAGAGAAAAUAAUUAAAUAACGUAUACUUUUAAAAUAAUUAAGUAUUUCUUUGUGUUCAGUAUACAUCUCAACCAACACCUAUUGAUUCUUGUAUAAAUAAAAAUGGUGUCUAAGCCUAUCGCACAACGGACCCCUCUCAAACUAAUCACCCAACCAAAAUAGUGUCUUAGCUCCAUUGUCCACCACCCUCACCAAAUUGUCCUAGUAUCCUCGCAACCCACCGUUCAUAUUAACUAUGAGUAGUGAUAUAUGUACAACUCUUUGGUACAACUUUCAUGACAACUUUGGUUUUCUCUCUUUUGAUUGGUCAAAAAUACUAGAGAGAGAAAAAGGAAGAGAGAUAAUAAGAAGAUAAUGUGAGUAUGUGAGAGAAAGUUGUCAAAAAAUUGUUAGAAAAUGGUUGUACAAAUAUCAUUUCUCAUUAACUAUUAUUCAUCAAACUACAUGUUAUUUCUAAGAAAAAAUAAAAAAAUUAGUUUUUAUAUAUAUCUUUUAUUUGGCCAAUUAGCCUAAUGAAUAAAAUUCCACCCUAUUAAAAUGAAAAAAUGGAGAAGGUAGGAAAUUCAACCCCUAUAUAUAUAAUAUAAUAUCCAUGCCAACUGAAUAUGAAAGUCUUUUGCCAAUAUAUAUAUAAAUUAAUAUUCAACUACCUAACAUGUAUGAUUUCUCGAUAAAACAAUAUAUUAACAAAAUAUUAUAGUUUAUUUCAUUUAUUCUUGAUGAUGAGAAAUCAAUAAUAACAUUUUUAUUUAUUUAUAGAGAUAAUAUAAUAUCUCUAAACUAACAUAUAACUUAUUAAUUCAUCUUAAAUUUUAACUUAAAAUACAAUUCAUCAAUCUCAUUAAUAUUAUAGCAUGAGUCAUUAUACUAGUUUUUUUUUUUUUUUUAGUAAAGGUCAUUAUUGUGUAACCAAAAAAUAAAAGAAAAUAUUCUAUAUUAAAAUUUCAGAGCUGCCGUUCCUGUCACAAUUAAUUAAUUUUUCUUUUUAUAUUUUGAUAAUUUCAGAACUCCUUAAGUUCAAAUUGACAGCGAUGAACGAUAAUGAAAGACGCCCACUUAUUUUGAAUUUUUCAUACAAAUGUGUGGCUAGACGUGGCCAUAUAAUUUGUAUUCAUGCGUACCCAUCCGAACCCCGUUUCGAAUAUGAUUUGGACAACUUGAAUUGGAGCUAGACUUGGUUAAACAUAACCAUAAAUCUUUUAUCUAGAUACACACUCAUUAAUAACAAAAAGUAAAGGAGGAAAAAAUAAAUUUUAUUAUUAUUGAAAUUAAUGAAUAAAGUGUCGUGACGGAUUCAGAAAUGUUGACUUGUGGAAACAAAACUUUAUAUAAUACUCCCUCCGGUCCUAUUUACAAGAGAAAUUUGACUUUUUAAAUACAUUGAAUAAUGUAUGUAUCUAGUCAAGAACCUAAUCCAAAUACAUAAAUUAUUUAAUGUAUCUAAAAAGUAAAUUGUUUCUUAUAAAUAGGACCAGAGGGAGUAAAUAUUUAAAGAAAAUUUUUAAUAAUGCAAAAGUGAUAUAAUAAUAACAUCAUUAUCAUUGAGAAAAAUGCUCAAUAUUUAGAAAAAUUAAAGACUCGUCAACAUCUACAAAUUAAAAUUGUUUUUACGUGUCUUUAUAUUCAAAAAAUAUGGUAGAAAUUAAAUUUCAUCUCAAAUGCAUUUACGCAUUCGAUUUUAUGAAAUUCAUGAACAAAACUUUUUUUUAUGGUAUAAAUUUUAAUUUAAUUGAGGCAAUCUAUUAUUUUAAGAGAGAGCAACCAUUAAAAUAUAAAAAAUUUAACAAAUAUAACCAGAAGAGUAGUGGGGGCAGUUUCCCCCAUACCACUCUACCUAGAAUCGUGGUUGAUGAUGUGAUUGUUAAUGUGGUGUGCCUAAAUGCAAAAUAUUUAUUUUUGUUAUCAAGUAAGUAUUGACUCGGUUCGUAUUUUUUACGAUUUCAAAAGACGGUUGUGGCCUCGCCCGUAUCAAAAUUAUAUUAUUACCUCUCUUAAAUUAUAAACUCAUAAACAAAUUCCUAAAUUACAUUCAUACAUUAACUUUUAUUUUUAAGCUCAACCUUAAACAAGUCAUUUCCUCUACUUUUUUUUUUUAGAAAACCAUAUUGUUGAAACAACAUAGUUUUGAGCUUUUUUACUUAUUCUUAAUAGAAAAAAAGAUCAAAUGCCACUUUUGAUCCUUUUAGUUUAACAGAAUUCUCAAGUUAGUCCUUUAAAUUUCGAAAGUUUCAAUUAGGUUCUUUUGGUUUGACAUAAUUCUCAAGUUAGUCCUUUAAGUUUCAAAUAGGUCCUUUUAGUUGAUAAAUUAUUUCACUGUUACCGCUGCUGUCAGUCUCUGUUUAACUAAUGUUAAUGUAGCUGUAAGUUGUUGACUUGAAUCGAAAUGCUGCCUUUUAAUAGCUCGAGGGUGCAUGUCUAAACGCUACGUUUAAUGGUCACAAAUGAUCAUUUAUAGUGCUAAUAAGACAGCUAUUUACAACAAUAAAUGUCUUUCUAGCACUAUUAAACGACAUUUAUAAUACUAGAAUGAUCAUUUGUGACGAUUAAACGUAAUGUUUUGACUCACCGGAGCUUUUAAAAGACAACGUUUUGAUUCAAGUCAACAACUUAACGGCUACAUCAGCAUCAGCUAAUUAUUAACUGACAUGAGGGGGGUAACGGUGAAAUAGUUUAUCAACUAAAAGGACCUAUUUGAAACUUUUGAAACUUAAAGGACUAACUUGAAAAUUAUGUCAAACUAAAAGGACCUAAUUGAAACUUUUGAAACGUAAAGGACUAACUUGAGAAUUAUGUCAAACUAAAAAGACCAAACGUCAUAUUUGGCCUACAAAAAGUACAAAAGUUCACGUGAGAGAAUCGAACAACCCAAAAUGUUUUGUGAACCCUAUUUCUUGAUGAAUCCACGUGAUACACAACUCAGCAAGCCAUCAGAGCAUGCCUCAACGGAGAAAAACGCCGAUAUCUGCAUGGAAACCAACCCCAAAAGGGGUUAUCUUCCAAAAACUACCAGCACAAGGUCAUAGGUGUUCUGGAAUGAGGAUAAUGCGUAGGGGCAGCGCCUCUCAUCGCACCACCGCGCUAGCCGCUACAUCUAAAAGGAACAAAUUUGAAUGAGGGGAAGGCGUUGGAGAGGUGGUCGUUCAAGAGAGAAGCGAGAGAGUACUUUUUGAGAGAGAUAAGGGAGCAUCCUCCUAUCUUCCUAAAGUUACAUGCAUUUCUUAAUUUUGUCUAACAUCCAAUUUACCCUCUAUACCGUAGAUUUUUUUAAAAUACUCCCUCCGGUCCUAUUUACAAGAUAAAGUUGAUUUUUUUGAUACAUUGAAUAAUGUAUGUAUCUAGUCAAGAACCUAAACUAAAUACAUAAAUUAUUUUAUGUAUCUAAAAAGUAAAUUGUCUCUUGUAAAUAGGUCCGAAGGGAGUAUUUACUUUUUUUUGAACAAAGUAAAAUGAGACAUAUAUUAUAAACAAUGGCGAUUUACCGUGCACAAGACAUGCAAAAGGUAAACCGACCAAUCAAAAUACAACAGUAGGGUGCUAAUUUAGAGUAACACCGUAAAAAAGUUACAAAAAAACUACACAAAAACACCCAUGCAGGGAAGUGGGUGUUUCCACCAGUCAUAAUAAGAAUAAAUAAAAGAUAUAUGCGAUGAUUUCAGCCACAUAAACGAGUUCAGCUUCACUUUUUCAGCUAAAGAAGAAGGAUCACAAACCGUUUCUUGGAACACACGGUUAUUUCUUUCCUUCCAAAUGACCCAAGCAGAAGCGAACCAUAUUACUUUCAGAUAAUAAUGAGUGGCUCUAGGAAAGCCGGCCAAAUUAGAAAAUUGUGUAAAAUGCCGCCGAAUAUCACCUGGAAACACCACAGAUAAACCUAACCAAUGCAAAAUAUGAUCCCAAAGCGUACUAAAAAUAUUACAGACACAAAACAAGUGAUUUGCGGUUUCAUAGGCACCACAACCUGACACACAAACCGAGUUAGCUAACAGAAGAACACGCCGAUGAACCAAGUUGUCUCUAGUGGGAAGUCUAUUCCGAAAAAGGCGCCACACAAAUAGUGACACCUUAGAGGGUAUGCUCUUAUGCCAAACAUCUUCAACCAGAGUCUUAUCCACCACAUUACCAUUAUCAGUGAGAAAACGAUAAGCUUCCCGUACCGUAUAACCACGGAUAGGAUCUAACAACCAAAUCCAAGAGUCAUGAACAUUAACCUGCAAAACGACAUUAGAAAGUAACAUAGAACAUUCCUUCACACUUUCCUCCUCCCACGCCAAAAGUCUCCGGCUCCACUCCCACCCCCACCUCCAACCUCCCAACCGUCCCUACUCAUGUCCUCCACCGUACACUCUUUGCGUAAAAACAAAUCAAAAAGACGGGGGAAUUUACAACAUAAAGGUGUAUCCCCCAACCAAUUAUCAUACCAAAAUAAAGUAUCCCUACCAUCUCCUACCCUCCUACGAAUGUUGUCAUCAAACCACCUCCCAACACCCUCACCUAACCCCUCCCUAAUCCUACACACUGACCGCCACCACGGAGAAUCGAGGUGUCCUCCCUCCUCCAACCGUCCCCCUAUCUCACCAUAGCGGGCUUUAAGUACUUUAUACCACAUCCCCUCCUUUUCAUUCAACAUCCUCCAACACCACUUCCGCACCAACGCCAAAUUAAAAGCUCCCAUCCUCCUCACCCCCAACCCUCCGUGCUCCUUUGGAGUACAAAUCGACUCCCAAUUUAUCCAAGCAAUUUUCCUAGAGUCCUCACCCCCACCCCAAAAAAAAAAUUAAAAAUAGAUUCAAUAGAGGAAAUUAUACCUGCGGGGGCUUUGAAAAAGGAAAGAAAGUAAACAGGAAUGGAAGACAGAACAGAUUUCAGAAGAACCAAGCGGCCGCCAAAAGAAAGGAAUUUAUUACUCCACAAGGACAGGCGCGAAACAAUUCGAUCGACAACAGGUUUCCAAAAACUAAGUUUCCUUGGAUCACCACCAAUAGACAACCCUAAAUAGACAAAAUGGAUAGUUCCCCUUCGACAAUUCAUAACCAACGCCGCUUCAGUCAACCACGAAUCCGAAACAUUCACACCCGUCAACAUGCUUUUAAGAAAAUUUACCUUCAACCCCGAAAUCUUUUCAAAUAAUAGCAAGACGGACCUCAUGGUUCUGACGUUCAACCAACUUUUCUCUCCAAUAAUAAGGGUGUCAUCCGCAAACUGCAAAUGAGUUAAAUAAACAUCACCUGAUCGACCAACUUUGUACCCUGAAAACAUAUUAGCAUCAACCACCGCUUUCAUCAACACAUUGAAACCUUCUGUAACCAACAAAAAAAGAAAAGGUGAUAAAGGAUCUCCUUGUCGAAGGCCCCUCUCAAUAGGAAACUCAUUCGCCGGGCUACCAUUAACCAAAACUGAUGUUGUUGCUGUCCCAACACAUUCAUGAAUCCACUUCCGCCAGAGUCUCGGAAAAUUCAUAUUCUCCAUUACCAUGUCCAGAUACCUCAGAUCAACUGAAUCAUACGCCUUUUCGAAGUCAACUUUAAACAACAACAGUUCUUUAUUCAUCCUCUUAGCUUCAUCCACCGCUUCGUUAGCUAUCAAAAUACUGUCAAGAAUCUGUUUCCCCUGAAUAAAAGCCGACUGUGACUCUGACACAACAUUACCCACUACUAAACGGAGACGAUUGGCGAGGACUUUAGCUAGCACCUUAUACAGACAGCCCACUANAGAGAUAGGCCGAAAAUCAUGGAGUCUUUGCGGACUAUUAACUUUUGGAAUUAAAGCUAUAAAAGUUGAGUUUAUACCUUUUGUAAGUUUCCCAUUCCGAUGGAAAUCUACCAAAAACCUCAUAAAGUCAUCUUGAAGCAAAUCCCAAAAUUGUUUGAUGAAACCAAAAUUGAUGCCAUCAGGCCCUGGGCUUUUGAAGCUAUCACAAUCCCACACCGCCUGUUUCACCUCCUCAACUGAAAAAGGUUUUGUCAAAUUCCCAACCUGAACACCAGUUAAUUUUCGAAAAAGAAGAUUCUCCACACCCCACCGAUUAGCCGCACUUGAUUUAAAGUGAGAAGAGAAAUGAUUAAAGACCGCAUUCCGAAUAGCUUGAACACAUUCCAAAUUAACCCCAUCGACAGACACACACCUAAUAGCAUUGUGACGCCGUUUAGCAGACAUAACUCCAUGAAUUUUUUUUGAAUUUGCAUCUCCUUCCUUCAACCACUGCAAUCGAGAAUUUUGCCAGUGUACACUAGUCUGAGUUCGAGCCAAAGAAUGGAGAUUCACAGAUAAAUCACGUAAUUCCAGCACCUCAUUUUCCUGAAGUUCCGACAACUCUGCCUUUGUAUCUAAAAUGGAUAAUUUAUUUUUUACCUCCGACUUCCUUCCAUCUAAAUUCUUAAUAUGCUAACACUUUAGGUGAAAAAAAAGAUUAUACUUUUAUGUUAAAAAAUAAUUUAAAAAUAUUUUUACAUUGUCAAUUAAUAAAGUAAAAAUAUUAAAAUUUGAUUAAAAUUAUUUUUAAAUUCAUAUACAUGAUUGCUUGUGAUUAUUUAAAAAUAGUAAAAAAAUAAUAGUUCAACCGUAUAGUGAAAUUAAACUAAAAAAAAGGUGUACCGCAAUAAUUUCAUUCUCCACCUUUUAUUGAUUUUGUUUUUUCCGGCCCCUCCCACCAUUUAUUUCUGGCUCCACCCGACAAUCAAUUUGUGUCGAGUGUUUAAUCUACACAAUUUUUUUUAUUAUCUACAUUUAUUUAUUUUUUAUUUCAUUAUUAUUUAUCAGUUAAUAAAUACUUCCUUCGGUGUCCCCGUGAGCUUAGCUCAGUUGGUAGGAACAAAUGCAUAAUAUAUGCAGGGGCCAAGGUUCGAACCUCAGAUACACUACUUCUUCACAUUAAAUAUGUGUGAGCUCCAGCCACUAGGCUACCUGACCAAAAAAAAAAAAUACUCCCUCCGAACAUACUUAUAAGAAAUACUAGAAAUCCGACCCGUGCUGACGUCAUAUAACAAUAAAUCAUAAAUCAUACAAAUAGAAGAAAUUUAAUUCCGUUCAAUCAUACAAAGUACACGAUUUAGGAUACAUUCCAAGUCAUACAUAUUAAUAGAAGAACUUUAAUUUCGUUCCAUCAUACAAAGUACACAAUUUAGGAUACAUUACAAAAAACUUCAUGAUAAACAACAUUAGACAUUACAUUAGUGUCUUCACGAUCAUCACAAUUUUGUUUGUUUUUUGGAAACUAAUGCUUCUAAGUUGCAAAGAAAUUGAUGGUUCUUAUCUUACUAUUAUUUUGUUCCCAAUUUGUAAGGUGUUCAACUAAUCAAGCUCAAACCUUAUAAGAGUGAGGUUCAUGGUGUUUUGUUAAAACUUGAAUAUGCAAUUAACAAUGACGGCCCUUUUAUGGUGGUGUUAUUUUAUUAAUAUUUUGACGGUGAUUUAUCAUAGUAAGUGCAACAGAGUGUGAUAUAUAUAUAUAUAUAUAUAUGAGGAUGUAUACUAUGAGAAUGAGUAUUUUAUAUGAGAAUGAUGAGAAUAAUUAUCAAUCAUCAGAUUAAAAAUAAAAGGUUGCGAUUAAAAAUUCUUAUUUAAACAACCCAUGUGCCUCACUUACACUUAGUGUAUCCACAAUACUCAUUCAGCUACCCAUUCAUCGCUUCAUCUUCUUCAAAAUCUCCAUUUUCUGCAACUUUUUCAUCUAUCAAAUCUUCAUUGUAAUUUCUUUCUGCAAACAAAUCCAUAGAAACAUCUCUUUCAUCAACCCAAACAACAUUUUUUGUGUUUGAGAUGUGAAUUGAGGUUUUUGUUUGUUUUUCAAUCAACUUCAAUUAAGUGUAUUCCUGUUUCGAAUGAAUUUCAAAUUUUUGAUUUCAAUCGGAACUCUUGUUUUUGGAUUUUCAAACUGUUGUAUUUGGAUUUCCAAAAUCUAUUAUCUACCGAAGUUGUUACUAGGUUGAGUCGCGACCAGGUCGCUCUCUUUAAGACGUUUCGCGGCACUGCCCAAAAUUGUGCAAGGCAGACUAUCAACCACGCCGCCUCCAGAAUAAAACAAGCCCAGCUACUACUGUUUGAUUAACUAAUGCACUGUAGAAAAUCGUUCGAGAAUUACACCUCCAAAUAUGGUGCUAAGACCACUCUUUAAUACUGAAACCACUUUAAUAUGGUAUUGUUACCACUCUGUUAUGGUGCUGAGACCACUCAAAUAUGGUAUUAACACCAUUCUAACUUUAAGUUCUCCAAACUAUCAAUAUGGUACUACGACCACUCAAAUAUGGUGAUACCACCAUUUCUCCUCAAAUAGAAAAAUAUUGAAAUACUUUUUAUAUAUACCCUUAAGAUCAUUAUUAAUUCCGACGGAACAUUGUUAUUCCAAAUAGGGACUAUGAUCUUAAAAGUACUCUUUAUUCUGAAGGGACAUAUAUUAUCGAAGAGAUUAUGUUUUAAGACCAUUCUUAAUUCCGAAGGGACAUUAAACCGAAAAGGGACUAUGGUCUUAAGAACAGUCUUAAUUCCGAAGGGACAGAAAGGAGUAGAAAAAGGAGAAUGACUUGUCAACACAAGUCGAAUGAGGGAGAAGAGAGGAAAAACACAGAAAACAUCAACUGUGAAUUUCGGUGUGUUUUUGAACUAAGUGGAGUCCUCUAUUUAUAUAGAGAUUCUGUAACUGUUUUAGCAAAAAUUGCGACAACAGUUACUCUAAUGGAUAAGAUUAAAAUGAAGUUUAUCCAUUAAUCAGUUCAACAACACUUGUGAAUAGGAUGAAAAGAAACAAAUCCACAAAAGUGGAGGAAACAAACUAUUGGAUUUGAAUGAAGGAAAUAUAAUAAUAAUUAAAUUAUUAUUCUUAUCACAACCACCAUAAGCUAAAUUUAUGUAAAGUGAUAUUCUCGAAUAAAUUAAUAAUUAAUAUUAUUUUUAUCAUUACCAAGUAUUUAAAAUUAAAUACCACAAUUUAAGCACUACUAAUGUGUGUGUUCUAUUUUAUGUGAGACCCCCACACUCUAUUUUUUCAAUUCACACAACAUUAGAUCAUAGUAUAAUUACUUGGUGUUUAAUCUUCCAAUUUUUUAUCCAACAUCACAUCAAUGUUCCAACAAUUCCCCACUUGAAUUUUAAAAAUGGUUUCAAUAAUAACGUCAAAACGUUUCUAUAAGGUUGCUAAUAAACAAAGGUGUCGCCUACAACUUGAACCUUUGCAUAGCGGAUAAUAUUCUGAUUUAACAAGAGUUGCUUACAGCAUUGAACUCUAUCUCAGACAUAGAACCCACACACAAACCUUUUCCUAAGGUGUAUUCUAAAAGCUCGUGCGUUUUAUGGCCUUGCACGUCUAUCCCGGUUUUAACGAACGUUCUAGGUAUUCUGCCCCGAAUACCAUAGGAAUCGGCCUAAGUUCCACAUUCGUAUAGGUGAGUCUAUCAAGAGUACUCCUGUAGCUAGGUACUCCACUCCACAUAGAGUAUAGAUCUCAUUAAGAGUUUCUAUUAUCUCAUCCUUAUGUCACUGCAGGAAUCAUGCUUUCUUACUUUUCUCAUGCAUGUUCUUUCACUCAUGACUUGUCAUUACCCAUUGAACCUAUUUCUUGGGAUCUCCAAUCAUGUAGGUCGGGUUACCAUUACUAGUGACCUUUGGGCAUUAGUCCCAUAUUCCUAUUGGAUGUGUUUAGGACUUUUUUUCUAGUAAUUCCUUUCGUCAAAGGAUUGACUAAUUCUUUAUUUGUACGUGCACGAUAUACUUUAACCGUUCCUUUUAGAGCUCUCUAAUUAUUCUGUGUUCGUGCCUUAAUUAUCGUUUCUCACCAUUGUGGUAAUGAUUCUCAAUUUUGUAAUAGAUGCAAACUAUCACAAUAAAUUAACACUUCGGACAACGGUUUCACCCACUGAGGGUUCUUAGCUAGCAAGCAUCUUAUCAACUUGCUUCUUCACUAGUUUUCUCUAGUGUUCUCAUCUCAGAAUCAUUCCAUAAUAUCAUUUGUUUCAACAAAUAACUCCUCCAGUGAUGCUCAAUUGGCAGUCACUGGUCGCUUUGAGACUCAUCUGAAGGAUGUUCAAUUUUUUUUUUUAUCUUGUACUACUCAUGUACAAUAUGAUACUUCUCAUUUGUAUCUUGUAACAUUCAAGUACAAUAGGAUACUUCUCAUAAUGUAAUCCUAGAGUCAUAAUCUUCUUAAGGCACCUCAUGACUCUUUCAAUAGCAUGACAAUGCUUCUCAUCUGUCUACUAGUAAACUUGAACAAAAGUCUUACGACGUGGCCAAUGUCGAGUCUAAUACAUUCAAUGGCAUAUAUAAAGACUGCCAAUGAUGCUUACCCUCAAGUGUUCUUGAAAAGCUUUACACUUGCAAGUUUAUAGUCAAAGAAUUACAUUUCCUUAAGAUAUUCUCAACUUUGUGAGAUUCAUCAGAAAAGUUUUCUUUUUUGAUCUAGUAAUCUUGAAACCAAGAAUUACUUCACCUUUGUCUAGGUCUUUCUUAUCAAUGUUGUUGAUAAACAAUGAUUUCACAUAAUUCAUAACAUGAAUCUUUAAACCAAAUAUGAGCAAGUCGUCUUCAUAGAGACAUAUGAUCGUGCAAAUAUUAUUUGUCACUUUCAUUCACUUUAUACUCAUUCGAUAGCAUUAGAAUGUCAAAUUUUUCAUGUCAUUCUUUAAGAGUUUAUUUUUUACCUCACAAAGAAUUAUCUAACUUACAAAACUUGUUUUCUAGUCCAUGAAUCACAAAACCUUCAGGUUGUUUAAUAUAGACUUCUUCUUCUAGUUCACCAUAAAGAAGGCAACUUUCACAUCUAUUUGGAAUACUAUCGAGUUAUGAACGGCGGCAAAAGGGACUAGUACUCUUAUGGAUAUGAUACUAGUGACUGGUGAAUAAGUGUCGAAGAAUACUAUAUUUUUCUGUCUAAAACAUUUGACUACAAGGAGAGCCUUGUAUUCAUUGAACCGUAUCAUCAGGUUUUAGUUCUUUUUCCUAAAAUCCAAAUACAACCGGUUAGUUUGCAACUAUGAGACAAGUCAACCAAGUGUCUUGUUUUGUUAGACUCUAGAAAAUCCAUUUCAUCAUUUAUUGCUUCUUGCCAUAAUUCAGCAUCCAAUAAGGAUAUAGCUUCUUUAAGGCUUAAUGGAUAUUCUUCCAAUGUAUAAACCGAGUUCAUACUCUUUAGCUAUUCUAGCUUUCCUACCUCCUCGAGGUUCUAUAACAUCUGGUACGAUGUUUUCAUAACUAUUUAUGAUUACAUGAAUGUGAUCAAAUAUAGUGCCCCCACUAGUUCUUAAUUUUUAGAAGGGAAUUUAUUUUGCCCCCAAUAAUGUUGUGCUCCCACUAGUGCCCCCACUAUUCUUUAGUUAAAGGGGUAAAUAUAUUUCCAUAGAAAUCGACAUCUUUUAAUUCUAUGAUCACUUUAGCAUUUAAGUCAUAAACUUAUAUGCUUCGCUGUUUAUAGCAUACCUAAUGAAUACACAUUCAUAGGCUCUACUAGUGAGUUCAACUCUCUUGGGAUUCAUAGUCAAAAUAUAGUCCAGACAAUCCCAAGUUAAAAAAUAAGACAAGUUGGAUUGUCUUUUCUUCAAAAAUUUCUUAAUUAGAAUUUUUGUUCUUAGACUUGGGUACUCUAUAAAUUUCAAUUUUCGUUAUAAAAAUUGAACAUAUCAAGCAUAUCAAUUUUAUUUUUCAAAAUUCACAGUCAUCAAUAAAUAUGAUAAAAAUAUCCUUUCAUCAUUUCUACUUUAUGUGCCAUCAAAUUCACACAUAUCAUAAUUUAUUAUGUUUAGAGAUUUAUAUCUCUAAAUUCUGAUUUAUAUGAACUUUUGGUUCAUAUAUCUUGACUGCAAUAAAUAAAAUUGUCUAAUCAUAUAACUUUGGAAUUAAAUCCAAGUUACUCAAGUUUAAAAUUAAACGUUUGUUCACAUGACAAAUUUUGAUAUGUCAAAUAUUAAAAUCACACAACUAAUAAAAUAGAAGGAAAAUUUAUUUUGAACAUACCAUCAAGGACACAUCUUUUCCCACAAUAAUGCAUGAUGCACAAAUCUUUCUUUAAGUUUGAGCUAACUCAGUCUUAUUCAAUAGAAAUCUGAAAUUCAGAUUCUUUCUUAUUUUAAAAGCAUGCAACAAGUUCCAAACCUUAACAUUAGCAUCAAGGGAAAAUGGGUAUUCUAAAUUCUUGCAUUUUAAUAUGCUAACUUGCGACUCUGUAUACCCAACAAUAUGCCAUAAAAGUACCUAUAGCAUUUAUAUAAGGGAACUUCUACGGUACACUCACAAAGUGAGGUGUACCGGUACUCUUGCUCAAUAAUUUUAUAAAUUAACGAUCAUUUUUUGUGAAAUAAAUAACUAUUUAUCAACAUUUAUAUUUUAUAGAACAUUAUUUCAUAAGAAAAAACAUCAUUGCAUUGUUUAUAAGAAUUUUAGUAAUAUUUUUACAUAUUAUCGUAAAAAAAUAAUCAAUGUUCUCGAUUAUGGGUGAUAAAAAUUCAAAAAAUAUUAAUUUUAAUUCGUUGACACUUUUGAUGAAUAAGAUUUAGUUAUUAUAAUUAUAAAUGAUAAAAAAAUAAUUUUUUUUUAUCAAAAAACAACUCAUUUAACUAUUAGUUUAAAGAGUGGAUGUACCGGUACACUCAAAUAUAUUGGAUGUACCAUAGAAUUUCGCUUUUGUAUAAUUCGUUGCAUAAGUAAUAAGUUAUGGCCAUUCUUCUUACUGUUUGAAAAAACUGACAUAGAUUUUUCAAUUCUGGUUACUGUUUUAGUGACAAACUAAACUUGUUUGGUUCUAUAACGAAUAAUUUGUUUUGUAACAAAUUAUAGUCUUAAUCAAAUAUUGUUCGAUUUUUUAUUUUAUUCACGGUAUGAUUUUGAUUUUUGAAAACAAAUUUCAAUCAAAUUCAGAGUCACAUUAGUGAAUUUCUUAGUGUUAUUGUUUAUAACUACAAUCACUUUUUCAGUCAAAAGAUGUAUUUAUAUAGUUUGACACAUUAUUUUUGGAUUUCCAAACUGUUGUAUUUGGAUUUCCAAAUUCUAUUAUCUAACGAAGUUGUUACUAGGUUGAGUCACGACCAGGUCGCUCUCUUUAAGACGUUUUGCGGAACUGCCCAAAAUUGUGCAAGGCAGACUAUCAACCACGCCGCCUCCAGGAUAAAACAAGCCCAGCUACAACUGUUCGAUUAACUACUGCACUGUAGAAAAUCGCUCGAGAAUUACACCUCCAAAUAUGGUUCUAAGACCACUCUUUAAUACUGAAACCACUUUAAUAUGGUAUUGUUACCACUCUGUUAUAGUGUUGAGACCACUCAAAUAUGAUGUUAACACCAUUCUAACUUUAAGUUCUCCAAACUAUCAAUAUGGUAAUACGACAACUCAAAUAUGGUGAUACCACCAUUUCUCCUCAAAUAGAAAAAUAUUAAAAUACUUUUUAUAUAUACCGUUAAGAUCAUUCUUAAUUCCGACGGGACAUUGUUAUUCCAAAUAGGUACUAUGAUCUUAAAAAUACUCUUUAUUCUGAAGGGACAUAUAUUAUCGACGAGACUAUGUUUUAAGACCAUUCUUAAUUCCGAAGGGACAUUAAAACGAAAAGGGACUAUGGUCUUAAGAACACUCUUAAUUCCGAAGGGACAGAAAAGGAGUGAAUAGGCCAAAAACCCCCUGAAAUUGUAACUUUCGUCAAAAAUCCCCCUGAUUUUUAAGAAACUUCAAAAACGCCCCUGAAAUUAUCAAACGUCAGUCAAUUACCCCCCUCCGUUUGUUUUGGCUGUUAAAUGACUAUUUUUUAAUUUCUUUUUGCUUUCUUCAUCUUCUUCCUUCCACUUUUUUCAUCAUCUUCAUCAAUAUUCAUAAAAAAAUCCAGAAAAAUUUUAAGAAACAACAACCAUUAACAACAUCAUCAUUAACAUCACACACUUUAUAAUGAUUCUCUCUCUCUUGUUUGUUACCUUCUUGAAUUAAUCAACAACAACCUUUUGGAAUUCAUCAACAACAAAAUGAAUAAUAGAAAAGAUCAUGAACUUGUUUGAAAAAGAACAAGGUUUAUGAUGAAUAGCAUGGACAACAACAUCAACAGCAACGGUUCUUCUCAUUCUCAUGAUGUUACUGUUCCAUCAUCACUCAUGUCUCCUCUUCAGAAUCAAUCACUUUUUAACCCUCAUUCAAAUGGAUUUCUUUUUUGGAGCAGCGAUGAGAUUACCAACAACAAUGAUCAUCAUCAUCAAUUGUCUCUUGAUCUUUCUGCUACGACCCUUUUGGAUAACAAUGAGCAACAAACAAGAGAAGCUAGUAAUGAGAUGAUGAUGAUGUUGUUAAUGGUUGCUGUUUCUUAAUUUUUUUCUGGAUUUUUUAUAAAUAUUCAUGAAGAUGAUGAAAAAAGUGGAAGGAAGAAGAUGAAGAAAGCAAAAAAAUAAAAAAUAGUCAUUUAACAGCCAAAACAAACGGAUGGGGGUAAUUGACUAACGUUUGGCAAUUUCAGGGGGGUUUUUGACGAAAGCUACAAUUUCAAGGGGGUUUUUGCCUAUUUACUCGACAGAAAAGAGUAGAAAAAGGAGAAGGACUUGUCAACACAAGUCGAAGGAGGGAAAAGAGAGGAAAAACACAGGAAGCAUCAACUAUGAAUUUCGGUGUUAAAAUGAAGUUUAUCCAUUAAUCAGUUCAACAACACUUGUGGGUAGGAUGUAAAGAAACAAAUCCACAAAAGUGGAGGAAACAACUAUUGGAUUUGAAUGAAUGAAAUAUAAUAAUAAUUAUAUUAUUAUUCUUAUCACAACCAACAUAAACUAAAUUUAUGAAAAGUGAUAUUCUCGAAUAAAUUAAUAAUUACUAUUAUUUUUAUCAUUACCAAAUAUUUAAAAUUAAAUACCAUAAUUUAAACACUACUAAUGUGUGUGUUCUAUUUUAUGUGGGACCCCCACACUCUAUUUUUUCAAUUCACACAACAUUAGAUUAAAAUAUAAUUACGAUAUUUAAUCUUCCAAUUUUUCAUCCAACAUCACAUCAAUGUUCCAACAUUUACCAUUGACACGCCAAAAUAUAACUGUUAUAUAAACGAACAUUUCUUUGGUUUUGUUAUACAUAGAUAAAACAGUUAUUUCAUAGUUAAGCAUGGUUGCAAAGCAUUUGCUUUUAAUAGCAGAAAAAAUAAUCAUAUAAUAAGGAACGUCGACCAAUAUUACAUUACCAAAACUUAGAACUCAUCAUAUUAUCUAAUUUAUCUGAAUCUUAUUGCCCUUUUAUAUUUUGUAAAACAAAAGUUUAAGAUGCAAGAACAAAUCUCUUUAAAAAUUAUAAGCAAUUAUAACAUAUGGUAAAAGUAACAAAAACUUUAUAAUUAUAUUAAGCAUGAAGACUCGUACAUAUUGAUUGAAUACAUAGUUCAAUACUGAAAAGAAAAAAAACUAAAAGCACCACAUAAUAGAUCCUUUCAGAAUUUAAAACGCAAAUUGAUACGAAGCUGACAGAUUUCGUAAAUUCCAUUCAUCUUUUUCAAACACGCAUACGACUAACAUAGAGAGUCUUGUUGAAGCCGGGAGCUGGAGCACCGAUCUUUAUCGUUUCACCCUGCUGAAUUCUUCAUGCAUCUACCAUCCUUUUCAACUGAAGCAAGAUUAUUAUGGGAGUAAUGGCUAUACCAGUGAGGAAUUGGUAGGAGAGCAAUGCUAGGAGUGGACGAUCUCCCAUGCUUGAAACAGGUAUGUUACGAAUUUGCUUGGAACAAUGGCAAAUCAAGCUGCUCACGCAACAUGGCUUAUAUAGUGCAAGCAUGGACAUGCGAAAGAGGGAGGGGUUUAAAUCUGCAUAGAGAAGCCGAACUGUUAUGUUUGGAAAAUGUAACAGAUGAUUGAAUUGAAUUGAAUGUCUUAAAUGCAAUGGAAUUUACAUGGCUCGGCUGAACUGAAGGGUUGAGGGUGGGAAACUUCAAUUUCAUAGUGCAAUGCUGAUUAAGAAAAACACUUAGUGGGAAAUAUGAAUUGCGGCUAUAAUGGGAAUUAAAUAACCAAGAAAUUAGUGUUAGGGGAAACUUCAGUUUUUCCUUUUCAUUACAUUGUAACUUACAAAAAAUAGUUAAUAACUACAAAAUGAGAAAUAUGAUUUGCGGCUUGUCAUACCUCAUAUUUGAUUCCGAGUCGGGCUCUCUUCUCUCAAUUAUUCUAUUUACUACUUCUAUUUUUUAAACUUCCAUCUUUUAUUAAUUUUCUUUUUAAUUCUAAAUUGAAUUUUAGUCCCUUGGUCUUAUUUAUCUUUUUAUUUUCCCAUAAAAAUCCAAAAAUAUACAUGUUCAUUCCUUUUUAUUAUUUUUUAAGUGAUAAGUCCAAAAGAAAAGUCCCAAACACAGCUCACAAACAGCUAAUCCCAGCCUGUAAUGUCUCCUCUCCAAGCAACAAAAUUUUGCUCUAUAAAUACAAGCAACCCAUAUCGCAACCAAAUCAAAUCCGUACAAAACCGAACCUCAUCAACAAACCUACACAGAUCCAGAUCAAGAAAAAAAAACAAUAAAAAGGUAGUAACCCUUUUUGUAGAUCUAGGGUCCGUUAAACCUCAUUUCAAAAAACCGUUUUCAAAAAAGAGAGGAGAAGGGAAAGGGUAAUCUUUUGGUAAAAAAAAUCAAAAAAAGGAGGAGUUUUUAACUCCGGCGCGGUGGCGCCGCCGCGAAAACUCGCCGACCACCGCGCCGGAACUAUCUCCGGUAGCCUCUCCUCGUCGAAGAAGAUGAAGAAAUUCUAGAGAGAAGGCAGAGCUUCUCUCUCUAGAAAUGAGAGAAGAGAGAGAAAAAGAAAUAAAAAUGAACAUAAAAAACCGGAGCUGGCUAUUUAUAAAGGGAUUGAACCGGUUCAACCUUUAAACCGGUCUGAACCAGUCUAAUCCAAGCCCACACGCGUCUGGCCUCACCCAAGGCCCAAAUCCUCUUCAUUUUAUUUUCUGCACCCCCCUUUACUGCUCACACACCCUCAGCAUCUCUUUUUUUUUUUUUAAUUUCUUUUUCAUGCAUUUUAAUUCUCUCUCUAUCCAGAUUGCUCUGGUCCUAUAUUAACUGUUAAUAUUAUAUUUUUGUUUAAUUUAAUUAUUCUCUAGAACAAUCUGGUCCUUGUUAAAAUGAACAUAAAAAAGAGAGAAGAGAGAGAAGAAGAAAUAAAAAUGAACAUAAAAAACCGAAGCUGGCUAUUUAUAAAGGGAUUGAACCGGUUCAACCUUUAAACCGGUCUGAACCAGUCUAAUCCAAGCUCACACGCGUCUGGCCUCACCCAAGGCCCAAAUCCUCUUCAUUUUAUUUUCUGCACCCCCCUUUACUACUCACACACCCCCAGCAUCUCAUUUUUUUUUUUAAUUUCUUUUUCAUGCAUUUUAAUUCUCUCUCUAUCCAGAGUGCUCUGGUCCUAUAUUAACUGUUAAUAUUAUAUUUUUGUUUAAUUUAAUUAUUCUCCAGAACAAUCUGGUCCUUGUUAAUUAAAUUAAUCCAGAGUGCUCUGGUCCUAAUUAACUGUUAAUAUUAUAUUUUUGUUUAAUUUAAUUAUUCUCCAGAACAAUCUGGUCCUUGUUAACUAAAUUAAUCCAGAACAAUCUGGUCCUUGUUAAUUAAAUUAAUCCAGAGUGCUCUGGUCCUAAAUUAACUGUUAAUAUUAUAUUUUUGUUAAUCCAGAGUGCUCUGGUCCAAACUUAAAAUGUUAAUAUUUAUUUAUUUUUGUUUAAUUUAAUUAUUCUCCAGAAUAUUCUGGUCCAUGUUAAAAUAACUUCACAAUUCAGCUUAACUUCAUUUUUCUCAUUCUGCUUAUAUAAUUUUCAUAUCUUUAUUCCAAAACAACAAAAAUAUUCAAAUAACAAAUCACAAAAAUAUUUUUUCAUUACAAACCUUGAUUCUCAAAUCAAGUGAUCGUUCUUUUUAUUCUUCUUAAUCAAAUUUCAAAUCAAGUCUAAUUCAACUUCAAGUCAAUUUCUUUCAAUCUAAAAAACACAAACCAAUUCUCAUUCGUCACUUGGCUUUUUAUUUCAAAACCUUUUUCAAAACAUAUAAAAAACACAAAACCAAUCAAACGUCAAUUUCUACCCCGAACUACGAGGUUUUGAUCCCUCACAGGUACGUAGGCAGGGGACCUUGUCCUUCCAAAUGAAUUAAAAAACAAUUUUCUUUUUUUUUCUUUUCAACUUUCAACUAAAAAAUAUUUUUCUUUUUUUCUCUUCAAUUAAAAUCAAUUUUCUUUUCUUUUUCAACUCAUCAUUCAAUUCCAUUUUCCAUCUCUUUAAAAGCAAGCAAGUUGUAGCACCAAAAGUUAAAUAAAAUCAAGAGGUUCUCGUAGAGUACUAUGAAUAUUUAGGGUGCUAAUACCUUCCCUAAAUAUAACCAACCCCCGAACCCUAAAUCUUUUCAAAAUGGAUGGUUUGGAACUUUUUCCCCUUAAAAAAAAAUUUGUUCAGUCGUGAGAUAAAAAGUGAGUCAAAAGUCAAUCAAAUGGCCUUGACGUCCGAAAAAUGGCGCGACACGGCUGUAAUGAGAAUUAAAUAAGCAAGAAAUUAGUGUUAGGAGCAACUUCAAAAAAUAGGAAAAAUUGAGCAAAGGACCUGAAACAACAUAAAGCUUUAAAAAAUAGGAAAAGAUAUUGAAAACAGACGUCGUAAUUGUGAGAAAAAAAUAAGCAUAUCACCUAUCAAGCAGUGAUAGGACAUCAGAGUUUCAAUACCACGACAUUCCAUUGCAAUGAUAGAAAAAUGGACGAGAUUGAAUUUUUUUAAGGCGUAUAGUUGUGAUAAAAAAUUACGGUAUCACUAGAAUCAAGAGGCGCUAAAGCUUUAAGUUGCGUAGGGAGCUUUAAUCAUGCGCAGGAGUCAAAUGUGUGAAUUAAAUGCGAUAGAAUAAAUUCUGAUCGAUUGAUUAGGAAAUGCUCUCAAAUUUGAAAUGAAGUGCUUUAAAUUAUUUAAUGUAUGAAAAACAAUUUGAAAUAAAAUGAAUUUAUUGCGUGUUAAAAGGGUGAGAAGGUCAAACCUGUGAAUUAACUGCGUGGGAGGGAAAUUGCUAGGUUAGAUUUAGGGUUAGGGUUAGCUUGACCAGACAAACUUUAGUAAGUAAGAUUUGAUUUUUUUUAUUCAUUACAUAAAUGAUAUAUUUGGUUUAUAUUUUAGACAAGAUACAUCAAUUACUUAAUGAAUCUAAAAAGUUAAAUUUUUCUUAUAAAUAAAACCGGAAGAAGUACCAUGAACAAUAACAAUCUUUCACAGUAAUAUGUUUAGUGCCACGUGAGUCCUGUAUUUUCUAUGUUCUUGUAGGACGUAAAAAGGUUCAAAACUUUGUUUGUUGAGAGAGAAAAUAUGUGUUCCCAUUUAUGGGACAUUCUGAGUAUGAUUGGUGUUAUUGUUUGAUAGUGGGGAGGAGUGAUUGUCUUCUAACUUCUAAGUUCUAACAAUUAGGUUAGGGUUAAAUAUAAAUAAAAUAAAAUAAAUUCAAAGGGGUGGUUGGAUGAUUGGGGUGUGGUAUCCUCAUGGGGGUUGCACGUGAUGUCUCAAAUCACUAACCCGUAAUUAGUAAUUAGUGUUCACAUGAUUGGGUGCAUAAACCAUAUAGAUUCAAUAAUCAUAUUUAUUAGGGUAUAAGUCUUUCUUUGAUGUUGUUUGUAAGAGUUGUACUUCUUCGUUCGUCAGUUUAAUGUACUUUAUCGAUGAAUUUUUAUAGAAAUAUCAUCCGUAAAUUUAAAAGGAGAGGUAAGAACGGAAUACACAUUAUAACGCAUUCAUCAUUUUUUUGGAAAAGCUUAAUAAUCAUCGUUACAAAUACAUAGUCUGAUGCAAAUUUAUACAUGAUUUCUCCCGAAGAAAUAUCUAUCUAUACUAUAUAGUGGCAAGAUAGAUAAAUACACCAUUAUAUCAACACACAACAUUAUUUUUAUUCAUGAAAUAUAUUACUGAGAAAGAGUACAUGGUGCAUGAAGAUAGAUAUCAUUAUGAUCAGUUUUGAGUUUUGUCCUCAGUUUGCUCGGCACCGUGACCACCGUGACCACCUCCACCAUGUCCCCCGUGUCCACCUCCACCGUGGUUGUAACCACCUCCACCGUGGUGGUAACUACCUCCUCCAUGGUUGUAACUACCUCCACCAUGGUUGUAACCACCACCAUAUUUGGCAUCAUUUACUUCAUUAGUCUUUUCCUCAGUUUGCACGGCAACAGAUUCAGCAGCACCAUGACCACCGUGACCUCCUCCACCAUUGUAACCACCUCCACCGUGACCUCCGUGGCCUCCACCACCAUUGUAACCACCUCCGCCAUGGUUGUAACCACCUCCACCGUGGUUGUAACCACCUCCGCCGUGGUUGUAACCACCACCAUUGUAACCUCCUCCACCAUGGUUGUAGCCACCUCCACCGUUGUUGUAACCACCACCACCAUGGUUGUAACCACCUCCACCGUUGUUGUAACCACCACCGCCGUGGUUAUAACCUCCACCAUUAUAACCACCACCACCGUGGUUGUAACCUCCACCAUAGCCUCCAUAUUUGGCAUCGUUUACUUCAUUAGUCUUUUCAACAACUUCUGAAACACGAUAUAUAUGAAUUGUUAAAUCAUUACUUCAAAUAUAUAUGAAUUUAAUGGUAGUGGGUUGACGAUAUAAAAUAACUUUGUAUACAAGACUAAUCAAAAUAUUUCAAGUUUCCCUGCAAAUUAAAAAAUAUUAAUUGAUGUGGUGAUUCUAAAUAUUUUCAAUGGUUUUGUGUGCAAAAAUUUUUUGAACCAUCAACCAACCACCAUUAAACUUAAUAUAUAUAUAUAUAUAUAUAUGAUUAUGUAUUCACACCGGCGUAAUGUUUGAAUAAUUUUACAUUUCUCACAAACUUAUUGAAUAUAGAAUUAUACCAAAUUUAAAAAGACUCACAAUUGAAUAUAUAAUAUAAUUAUAUCAUAUUGAUCAUCUUUGUAAGUUAUGAAGCAAAUUUGAAAUCAUUUUAUAUAAAAUUGAGUGCAUGAAGAUUAACGUUUACAUAGAAAAGAAUUAAUUAUAACGUAUAAAAUUAUAUAAUUAAGUAUAAAAGAAUUAUCCUUCAAAAAAGUAGAAAAGAAUUAAAACAUAUAUCUAAAACGCUCAUGAAAACAUAUAUAAAGAAACAUAAUAUAAUAUAUAGCUCACCCUUUUUAGUAUCAGUGGAAGUUUCAGUUAAGUCCCUAGCGGACAUCACUGAGGAAAUAAGAGCCAUAGCCAAUAGGCCUAGCAUGAGGAUUGCCUUUUUCGAAUCCAUUGUUCAAAUGUGAUAUUUAGUAGUGAACGAUGAGAAAAACUAGUAAGAAGUGUACUCUAUAUAUAAUGGAGGGAAGGAGGGAGAUGUAGGGACCUUCACUUGGCAGUUGAGAAGGUAGCUCUUGUGUAUUAAUUCAUUACUUUGUAGGUUCAUAAUGUAUCUAGUCAUAUUAUAGAUCAGAUACAUUUCAUCAGCAAUUAUAUUGAUGAAACUUCUUCUUGUUCUUGUUCUUGUCGAAUGAGUCUUCAACUAUUGCUUCAUCUUCACCUCUCAUCAGCAAUUCCAACGAGCCUUCCACUUUUUCUUCCUUUUGAAAAUUCAUGAAGUCUUUUUAUUUUUCUUCUCUCAAAUAUAUUCUUUUACUUUUCACUUGAGAUUUUUAACAAUUGCUACUCAUCUUAUUUAUAGAAUUUUAACUCUUCUUAGAACCAUUGUCUAUAACAAAAUUUUGUUUAAAUUUGAAGAUAAUGAGAAACAAACUUUGUUUAAUAAAAAACUUUGUUCCAAAGAGAUAGCAUUAAUUUAGUUUUAUUGAAAAAGAUAAGAGUAAUUGAUAAAGGAUAUAAUUGAAAAAUCGUACGCUUAAAAUACCAAAAAGACAGUUAAAUAGUAACGAAAAAUUCAUCCAAAAAAGACACUUAAAAAGAAACGGAGGGAAUAGUAUUUCAUAUCUUAUUUAUGUAUUAACAAAAAAUAUAAAAUUUUGAUAUUUUAAAAAUAUUCGACAAAUACAAAAAUAUCUUAUAUAUUAUCAUUUGCCUAUAUAAUAUACGAUAGUAAAAAAAAGAUGAUUAAAGUAUGUUAGGUAAAUAAUGCAUUUAGUCACUUGUUUUAGAAUAGAGUAGUUGUAAAGAUUGAAGGCUAUGAAAAUGGAGAUGAGUUAUGUCUACUUGCUAUUGGCUGAAAGUGACAUUUUGAAAGCAUGCUAUUGGUUCAUACUAGCUAUCUCAUCCCAUGGAGAUACAUACAUUCAAACUUAUCCAGACACAUUCAUAAUAUGUU
This 25068-nucleotide long non-coding RNA is filed under the name Medicago truncatula (barrel medic). RNAcentral describes it as "long non-coding RNA (MTRU_LNC003592)". Lineage: Eukaryota; Viridiplantae; Streptophyta; Magnoliopsida; Fabales; Fabaceae. The record is from RNAcentral.